RNAcentral lists this long non-coding RNA (527 nucleotides) under Gallus gallus (chicken). Its description in RNAcentral is "long non-coding RNA NONGGAT003065". The record is from RNAcentral. Lineage: Eukaryota; Metazoa; Chordata; Aves; Galliformes; Phasianidae.
GGGAAGGAGGUAGGGAUGGCAAGGAGCCAGAAGUCUCCCUUCUGCCCCCAAAGUCCCUUGCAGUGCUGGGGUGGGGGGUGCAAAGUGAGGGCUCCCCAGGGGAAUCCAUGGCCUGCAGGGCCACAUGCUAUGAGGGGAAUGGCAGCAGGGCGGCCUGCUACAUGACUGCGGGCUGCAAGGAGGAUGAAAGGACCUGGCCAAGGACCUCUGCCAGACAAGACCUUCCUGCUGAACUGAAGAAGUAUACAUGCAGCAACUUCUGCCCAGAUCACGUAGAAUGUGCAUGAAGACAAGCAUGAAUGCCAUAGCUGUAGUCAGAAGACUCUUCCUUGUCCUUUUCCAGUGCAAAAAGCUGCUGUUCUUGCUCUGUGUGGGUAAGAAAACCUCAACGCAUGCUGAGCCCUGCUGUUUCCCACCAGAACUCACUGCUGUGUCCCCCAGCCCCAUGGCCUUGCUGGGCUGGGACUGUAUGGAUUGAGAUGCCCCUCCUGGCCAUGGAUGUCUUCGCUGGAGAGACCUCAAUCAUG